UUUCUAAAUAAUCAACAGGUUCGAUUGCGUGAUGUCCUCCACAGUGAUACAAAGUUUACCCUAGUAUUUGAGCACUGUGACCAGGAUUUGAAGAAAUACUUUGAUAGACAGUGAGCAAGUCCAAUCACUGAUGUAUCAACUUUUAAGAGGUCUUGCAUUCUGCCACAGUAAAAGUGUUUUGCACAGAGAUCUCAAACCUCAAAACUUGUUGAUUAAUAAGAGACACUUGUAAAGAACUGUGAUUUGCAUCACCAGAUGAGCCUCUUGUUUUCUCAAAGUUUUCUAAUUCAAUCACUGGACCCUUUUGACUCAAUAAAGAAUCCUGACAUUUCAAAGGUUGAACUGUACACAAAUUUUCAUGUCUGCACUCAGUCUUUCAAGAAUUUUUAAUAAUUUAAGUGUUUCUAUUUACUUUGACAGGAGGUAUUUUGGGAAGCCGAACUGGCCGUUGUUUUGGGGAAAAAAGGAAAGAAUAUUGAAUUUAGUUAAGCAAAAGAUUACGUUUUCGGCUACACAGUUGCGAACGACUUGACUGCACUCGACUGGCACAAGGAAAAAAAAACGGUGGUCGGUGGCUACUCGGGAAAACAAUGGAUGGCUUCUGUCCCAUAGGGCCAGACAUCCUUACAGCUGACAAAGUUCCCGACCCACAUAACUUGAAAAUUUCAUGUAGCGUCAAUGGCCAUAUCAAACAAACAAGCAACACCAAUCAGCUCAUUCACGGAGUCUUUGACUGCAUAUCCUUUUUGUCAAAUUAUGUAACAUUAUUAACAUGAUGUCACCAAUCUCAUGUUAAUAUGUUGACAACCACCAGGUUUUGCACACUGCUUCCUGGUGAUAUAAUUUUAACUGGAACACUCAGGAUCUGGUGGAUUUGCUAAAACCUUCACAAUUCUUACAGGAAGGAGACGUCGUGGAAUGCGAAAUUGAACAAUUAGGAAAGAUCCGAAACCAGAUUGAAUAGUUGUCAUCCCGCAUUGAUUAGUAUCCAAUACAACAAGAAACUUCAAA
Long non-coding RNA from Daphnia pulicaria, 1011 nucleotides. RefSeq lists it as uncharacterized. The record is from RefSeq and is a predicted model, not a curated record. The transcript has 4 exons. Lineage: Eukaryota; Metazoa; Arthropoda; Branchiopoda; Diplostraca; Daphniidae.